AUAGAUGAUGAUAGUGUUUUGUCGCCCCAGUCUUACUUGCAUCUGUUGAUGCACGGUGGUGAUUGACAUUUUAUCUGAUAU
Molecule: small nucleolar RNA, 81 nt
Organism: Rhodamnia argentea
Lineage: Eukaryota; Viridiplantae; Streptophyta; Magnoliopsida; Myrtales; Myrtaceae
Product: small nucleolar RNA U31b
Exons: 1
Source: RefSeq, a predicted model, not a curated record